AUUUAUAUAAUAUCUACAUACUAAAAUUGGAAAAAUACAGAGAAGAUUAGCAUGGCCCAUGUGCAAGGAUAAUGCACAAAUUCGUGAAGUAUUGCAUAUUAAA
Molecule: non-coding RNA, 103 nt
Organism: Myotis lucifugus (little brown bat)
Lineage: Eukaryota; Metazoa; Chordata; Mammalia; Chiroptera; Vespertilionidae
Source: Rfam